AUUGAACGCUGGCGGCAUGCCUUACACAUGCAAGUCGAACGGCAGCACGGGAGCAAUCCUGGUGGCGAGUGGCGAACGGGUGAGUAAUAUAUCGGAACGUGCCCGGUCGUGGGGGAUAACGUAGCGAAAGCUACGCUAAUACCGCAUACGAUCUACGGAUGAAAGCGGGGGAUCGCAAGACCUCGCGCGAUUGGAGCGGCCGAUAUCAGAUUAGGUAGUUGGUGAGGUAAAGGCUCACCAAGCCGACGAUCUGUAGCUGGUCUGAGAGGACGACCAGCCACACUGGGACUGAGACACGGCCCAGACUCCUACGGGAGGCAGCAGUGGGGAAUUUGGACAAUGGGCGCAAGCCUGAUCCAGCAAUGCCGCGUGCAGGAUGAAGGCCUCGGUU
RNAcentral lists this ribosomal RNA (391 nucleotides) under uncultured bacterium. RNAcentral describes it as "bacterial SSU rRNA". It matches the Rfam family "Bacterial small subunit ribosomal RNA", at positions 29 to 424 of the family's 1533-position model. The record is from RNAcentral.